CCAGCAGCCGCGGUAAUUCCAGCUCCACAAGUGUAUUCCUAUAUUGUUGCGGUUAAAAAGCACAUAGUUGGAUCUGAGUGCUUAGCGGGUGGUACAGUGUUUCACUGUCACUGCUUCGCGGCACAAAACCAUCGACUGACUGCUGUUGUUGCCUUCACCGGUGACGGCAGUUAGCUAUCGACAUGUUUACUUUGAACAGAGCAGAGUGCUCAAAACAGGCGUUUUGCUUGUAUGUAUUGCAAGGAAUAAUAGAAUAGGACCUUGGGUCUAUUUUGUUGGUUUUCGGAAUCAAGGUAAUGAUUAAGAGGGACAGAUGGGGGCAUUCGUACUGCAACGGGAGAGGU
Molecule: ribosomal RNA, 344 nt
Filed under: uncultured eukaryote
Lineage: Eukaryota
Description: SSU rRNA
Rfam family: Eukaryotic small subunit ribosomal RNA
Source: RNAcentral